GCACUGAUGGGUCAGUGGUAGAACUCUCAGCUUCCAUCUGACAGACCUCAGUUUGAUUCCUGGUCAGUGCC
RNAcentral lists this transfer RNA (71 nucleotides) under Loxodonta africana (African savanna elephant). It matches the Rfam family "tRNA". From Rfam's summary of the family: Transfer RNA (tRNA) molecules are approximately 80 nucleotides in length. Their secondary structure includes four short double-helical elements and three loops (D, anti-codon, and T loops). Further hydrogen bonds mediate the characteristic L-shaped molecular structure. tRNAs have two regions of fundamental functional importance: the anti-codon, which is responsible for specific mRNA codon recognition, and the 3' end, to which the tRNAs corresponding amino acid is attached (by aminoacyl-tRNA synthetases). tRNAs cope with the degeneracy of the genetic code in two manners: having more than one tRNA (with a specific anti-codon) for a particular amino acid; and 'wobble' base-pairing, i.e. permitting non-standard base-pairing at the 3rd anti-codon position. The record is from Rfam by way of RNAcentral. Lineage: Eukaryota; Metazoa; Chordata; Mammalia; Proboscidea; Elephantidae.